AUACUACCUGUCAUUAUAACUAACGAAAAUUUUGUUAGCGUCUACACAGUCUCGCCAGCUCUCUCGCAGAUCCAAGUUUGAGGCCAGGCCUACACGAAGUGCUACAGUUCAUUAAUAACUUUGUUUUAAAUACUUCGAACGAAAAUCCAAAAUGAAGUUGCUCGUUGUUGUUGCUAUGGUUUUGCUUGCUGGUAAGUCUCUUAAACUGAAUUAAUUUGUUGUUCAGAAAAAAAAAAAGGAAUGAAUUUUGUUGUGUCGAGGGAAAGUCAUUAUGCCAAUAUUAUUAACACACGCACUGGUUCAAUUCCACUCCUUUAUUAUUUAUCAAUUGUUUAAGUAUCCAACUAAUUAAUCAAUUGUUUGUUUAAUUUGGUUAAACAGUAGAUCAUUUGUUUUGCUUUCGUUUAGCAAAGCUCUUUCGUUGCUACUUGCAGCCUUUCUUUUAUAACUGUGCAAUUUUGUCACUUAUAAAAUUUUUUGAGAAUCAUUGUCGAAGUCUUAGGAAACAGAUUUCGAGUUGCUUGCAUUGAAAAUAAUUUUUAAGCAUUCAUCUCUUGUUUCAGCCAUCUAGCUUCGGCCAUGCUGGAGCAUCAGCGUGAUUUUGCAACUUUUUCACAGUAUUCUUAGUUGGUUGAUUUCUUCAAGGUGGUGGGAUUUCAUAUCGUCACUCCUGCAUGUACUUGUGCCCUUUGGAAAUGUUCUUUAUGCGUUUAAAAAGUCUGAAGCUAACAGCUUACAAACGUAAUCAUCUGCUUUAAAAUCAAAUUCAUUAUCACCAUUUUCUUUUCUCUCAGGAACAUUAUUUUUCUGAAUUUUGCUGUUUCAUUUAGAAAUGUUAAACGAAAAGUUCCUAACUUAGAAUCCUUCUAGUUAAUUCCAGACGACGGUCAAAUUUUAUUUCAUCUUACAGUUUUAUUCGUUUCAAGUUAAGUGGGAAAGACUUCCACCCGUCCCCCUCCCAUUUUCUCCCAAAUUUUUUUAUUUUUGUAAUAUUUUUUGCCAAAAAUCCCCGUUUUCGGAUACGGAGGUUCCGGAAAAUUGCCAAAAAUCGGCAUUGUGAAUUUCCCCCACUUCCCCCAACUUCUUCAAUUUUGACUUUUACCACCCAACACUAACCCUAAAACUCUAACCCUAACCCGAAAACCGUAACCGUAAGUACAGAAAUGUUUUGAAAUUUUUGUCCGAAUCAUGAUGUCCGUAUUUAUCCGCAGAGUUAAAAAAAAAAUUCUUUAAAAAAAUUUUAUAAAGAUUUUUGGAAAUUGUUUUCAGAAUCAUAAUCUCCGUAUUUUUCCGCAUAUUUUGACAAAAAAAAUUUGUGAAAAAAGUUAAAAACGAAGGAGAUGGGGUGGUAAUUUAGAACUCAAUUUUUGCCAAUUUUUUUUGCAGAUUCGUAUUUCCCGUAGCCGAAAAGGGGUGUUUGUGUCGGAAAAAAAAAAAAAAAAAUUUACGGGUGUUUUUUUUUUGGUGGGGGACGGGCGGAAGUCUUGCCGGUAAGGGAGUCGAUUUUUUCUUAUUUAUACGCUAGUUUUAUAUUUUUAGCUUGAUUUCUGAGUAACCUAAAAACAUCAUUAUGAAGAACAAACGGUCAAAUGGUGUUAUACAUCAUCAACAUCAAUCGAAAGUGGCAAGGCUCUCUAAGUUUCGAGUUGAAAUCCAGUCGUGGUCAGCUGUAUCUUUCAUUAUUCCAAGACCUAUAAGAUGAGGUACAAAACAAGUACUGGAGUCGAUUUAAUCGAUUAACCCUUUCCCACCAAAUUUCAAACUUGUAUCCAUGUUCAAAAUAGUUAUUAUCAUCAAUGGCGGGGAUUAGUAGAAUCGUUAGAGCGUCGGACAAGAUGUCUUUCGAUGUAUAUACUGCCUUGAGUUCAAAUUCUGCCGAGGUCAAAUUUGCUUUUCAUCUUUUCGGGAUCGAUAAAAUAGUACCAGUUGAGAACUGGGAUCGAUGUAAUUUACUUGUUUGCUUCGACCGAAAUUGCUGACCUUGUGCCAAAAUUUGAAAUCGAUAUUCAUUCUGGCUGUUUAUGUUUUGAGUUUACAUUUCAUUUGGGUCAACUUUGCCUUUCAUCCUAUCGGAGUCUAAUAGAAAAAGACACUAGUCAAAUACUAGUUUCUUUCUUUAUAUUUUACUAGCAAUAUAGCCCGGCGUUGCUCGGGUUUGUUUUCUUUUCGACCCUUUAGACUUGGAAUUUUUGAAAAGUAAAAUUUUUGCAUUAUGUAGCUUGUUAUUCUCUUUAAGUGAACAUUUUUCUGGCUGAAAUACACCAAAAAAAUGGCGACACAGCAGUAAAAAAAUAGUAAAAAAUAGGGAUUUUCAUAGAAAAAAAAGCACAUUUUUGAUGUAAAUAAUUUUUGGUGUUAACAUAGUCCAAUUUGAAUUUUUUCUUCUACGGAAUGAAGAGCAAUUUUGGUCAACUUGCGCCGCAGGGUCUCGGAGGAGACAGUGUUAGUUGAAGGCUACCAAACUUGCCACACACACACACACACAGACAACUUCAGCUUUAUAUAUAUGGAUUGAAGAUACUAAAUCAGGCAUGGACAACUGUUUUCGAGAAGCGGGCCACACGAGACAUAACUGAACACCAGGCCACACUACUAAAUAACUAGGGUAAUUUUUUGUAAGGCGUGCGAUUCAGAAACAGUAGGUUGCCUAUGACCGUUCUAAAUCGUGGUAUUUAUCUUCAUAUUUAUUCUUCCCGAAGCAUCUAUUAUUACGAGGAUUGUUUCUGCUUUCAAGCCCUCUGCAGUCAAAUUAUCUCUGUUUCUAGAUCUUUAUACUUGAAGGCAUUUCUUUUUCUCAAGGCUUGAUAACAAGAUCUUGGUAGUUAGAGUUGGCCUCCCUGUUUGUGUGUGUUAUCACAUCUCAGACUAUGGUCGUUUUGCCAUUCUCGUAGAUAUGUUCUGGUUUAUACCUGUAAUACCUCGUUUUUGUGGGUAUUUCAUAAUACUGACAUAUCUCCCAGUUGAAGUUCCAACUCUAUCAUUCUAGUAGAGAUAUUCUCUCUUGGUUAAGACAGGGCAGUCAGAAGCAAUGUGGUAAACUUUGCUCAUCUCGACAUAUUCUGCAGUCACUACAUUCUGCUUCAUUACAGCUGGUAUUGUGAAAAUUUCUUUGUUUACUUCAGCCUUUUCAGGGAUUAACUAUGUUGGGGCAUAUCAUGCUAUAGCUACUAAGCCCAAGAUUCUGAGUUCGAUUCCAGGCAGUGACCUGAAUAAUAAAGAUAAAAAUAAUAAUAAUAAUAAUAAUAAUAAUAAUAAUAAUAACAACAACAUCGAAAAAUACCUUAGGGAUGAGAACCCAGGUUCGAAAUUUCCCAUAAGACACCUGAUGAAGGCUGGGGGGUACAUCAACCGAAACGUUGUGUUAACAACAAACAAGAUGAGGACAAAUAUCCGUCAAAUGUAAAUAAUGUAAAUAGUGUACAUAAUUCCUCAUCUCUUAAAUAUAGAACUGUAUUUCAACUGUUGUUUUGUAUGUAUUAGCUUCCUUGAAGAUAGAAAACAGUGUUUUGGUUUAUGCCCCAUAGGUAAUAGCACUAGUUUUUCAUUAUUCUUUUUUUCAGGCUUGGUGCCUUUAGUAGAAAGAAUUAUCAGUUAAGACAUCGCACAGUAUCCAAUACCGUGAUGUUGUUGGCUGAAGAUUUUGUGUGCACCGGGGUGGGAGAGGGGUACUAUCUGUGAAGUGACAACAAGGACCUCAGACACAUAGUACUUUACGCAAUAUGCGUGCAAUUCCAAAUAAUGCCGAUUUCUGCAAUACACUUGAUUAUAGCAUAUUUCUAAAAUUUCCAGAUCUUUUUUUCUGGUGUAUGUUGGUACUAAGCACCCGUUAAUUCGUAUCCACACUUCCGGCAUUUUAGCCAGUGAAGGUUUCGGGUAGUGUGAUCGAGCUGGUUAAUCUCCGCUCGUGUCCAUUUCAGAAUGGGUGCACUAUAGCGAACUACAGCAACAGCCUAUAUGGUCAUAGCAGUCACAAGGAUUCUUAAUUUGAGUUUCGACUUCGAGAAGUUUGAGGCGCUUCAAAUAUGCAGUGAUGACCUUGUCUUUCAUUUCUCCGUGCAAGAUAUUGUCCAGCUCCAGGAUCCCAACAACUUGUACCCAUCAUCAUCCGGGUCUUCUAUUCGCUCUCCUUUUGCUCUUUGCUCUUUUCCCCCCGUUUCAAUUUGCUGCACAGUCUCAAGCACUCUCGCUAUUUCAGGCUCUGUUUUAGCGAACAGUUUUAAACCAUCCACGAAAAGAAGGUAGUUGAGGCGAGGUCCAUUCUUUCUCAGCUGAUAGUGCGCGUUUGACUUUUGCGUAGGACUACAGAAGGUUAGAUCAAGGCUAAAGCAACUAACCUUCUUUUUAUUUUCUUUUUCUGCUUCUUCGUCUUUUUCUUUUUUCUUUCCUUUUUCUUUUUCUUCUUCUUUUUCUCUUUUCCUUUUUCUUCUUUUUCUCUUUUCCUUUUUCUUUUCUUUUUCUCUUUUCCUUUCUCUUUCUCUUUUUCUGUCUUUCUUUUUUUCGUUUUCUUUUUUCUUCUUUUUCUUUUUCUUUUCCCUUUCCCUUUUGUUUCCAGAGGUGAAUAAUUUUCUUCUUCUUCUUCUUCUUCUUCUUCUCCUCAUCAAAGUGACGAGUUAGUAAUAUCGUUAGCACGCCGGGUAAAAUGCUUAAUGGCAUUUCGUUCGUCUUUACUUUUUCAGUUCAAAUUCCGUCGAAGUUGACUUAGCCUUUUAUCCUUCCGGGGUCGAUAAAAUAAACACCAUUUAAACACUUGGGUCAAUGUUAUCGUCUAGCCCCCUUUCCCUGAAAUUUCAGGCCUUGUGCCUAUAGUAGAAAGGAUCAUCAUCAUCAUCAUCGAGGUAUCCAGCUUGCAGAUUCGUUUCACACCGGACAAAAAAAAAAAAAACAAAAACAAACUUAGCGACAUUUCUUCGGGAUCAUUGUGUUCUGAAUUGAAAUUCCGCCGAGGUCAAUUUUGCCUUUCAUCCUUUUGGGAUCAAUGAAAUGAAGUACCGGUUGAGCACUGGAGUUGAUGAAAUCGUCUUAGUCAGAUCUAACACGUGUUUUUGACGAACUUUUGGCCAAACUUUUUCUGUAUCUCAUCAAUGUUUUGAGCUAUAGCAUAGCCUCGCUUUGACUCAAAAGCAAUAAAAAUAUCGCUGCUAACAAAUUUGUACUUUUUAAAAGUAUGUUUAGAAAUUUACAUACAAUGAAAAAUAAUAAAACAUUGUUUGACUAUAAUGUUUGUUCAAAUUAUAUUGUUCAACAAAGGAUAGUGUUACUGUGAGUCAAAGUGUGCGCAAGUAGUCAAGGUAAAAAUUUACGCUUAUAACGUUUCUUGGAGUGUUGUAUCUAUGGACAAUUUCGCUUUAUACUCCGAUGUGAUGGUUCGUGCUCAACUGGUUAGGGUGUUCUGUUCAUGACCAUAGUCUUUUGGGCUCAGUUCCUGGACAUAUUUUAUUUUUGAGUAAAGUGCAUUAUUUCAUGUCACUCCACGUGCCAUGUACUAGAGUAGCCUCCUUGAUGUGCAGUAGGGUCAAGAUUUAUGCGAUCGAGAGGGUGUCUGUGCUGGCUCGCUACAACACAGGCACUUAAAACAAUUUGUAAAAGCGUAUACAUGUUACUAAACCACACUCGCUUACGAGAGACGGUUGGCUGUACUUCUCUUUUAUCGUCAUCAUUGUAAAAUUUGUUGUUUAUUUCUACAAACACUAUCUUAAUUUGGUUUUAGCAUAUCUUCUGAUAAACCCCAAAUUAUCUAUUUAAAAAUAAUAUAUAUUCUGUCCUCUAAUUUGUUUUUCUUUUCAUUUGUAGUUGUAACAGUUGUUUAUACUGAUUGCACUUCCGACCUAAAAGACGGGUGCAUAAAGAAGAACCAAACACAGUGUGGGUAAGUGUUUCUAUGAGCAAAUUAAAUAUCUUAGAGUGCUUGUAUAUAUGAGUGUUGGCUUAAAAGUUCAUAGGCUAGAAUGUGACUAAAUGAGGGUUAUUUUUCAAUAUACUCUCCUUCACUGUCGACAUACUUCUUCCAUCGGUGUUGUAGCGCUUCGAUCCCGUUGGCAAAGAAAUUUUCAUCCUGUUGGUAAAAAAAGAGUCAUCAACAACAGAUAUAAUGUCACCACUGCGAUACUGGCUCCCAGUAUGUACUUUUUCAUGUUGGGGAACAUAUGGUAGUCAGAUGAGGUUGAUUAACUAGUUGAAAGGCAUAGUUACGCACUGCAGUCAUUGAAACUAAGAACUUGUGUGUUAAAGCAUUGCCUGAUGAAACAAGAGCCCUUUCGUCAGUUUAAUUGCGUGUUUGAUCUCGAUAGCGUUUCGUAACUGCCUCAGUAAUGUUUUUUGCAUCCCUAAAAACUGAAGCCAUCACCUUCCCUGCAAAGGAAAUGACCAUGGCCUUCUUUGGAGCAGGCGGGGAGGAGUGUUUCUAUUGCAUGAAUUGUCUUUUUGUCUUUGGUUGAGAGUGACGAAACCAACACUUACCCUAGGUUAAAGGGACAUUGAAAGAGCUGGAUCUGCCUCAAACAGUAUCAAAUUUUCCCGUGAUGUGAUCAACCUUGUUCGCUUUUGAUCAGGUGUCAGAAGACGUGGAACCCACCACGCAGAGACCUUCGUCAUUCAGAAUGUUCCCAACUUUCUGACGGGAUGUGCUAAUAACAUUGGCUAUUUGAUUUAUAGUUUACUACCUGUCAUCCAUCACCAUGUGAUGAACACGAUCAAAGUCUUCCUCGCUGGUGGCAGUUUCAGCAUACCCAGGCCUUCGGUCAUCUUCAAGGCUCUCCCUUCCCCUCCUAAAUUCAGCUGCCCACUUUUGCACUGUCGAUAAAGCUGAAGCGUCACCCCUUAAUGUUGCAACCAUAUUAGCAUGAAUGUCAUUGGGGGCUAAACCGUUUCUCUGCAGGUACAUAACACCAUAAUGCCAAAUUUUAUCCAUUUUCAAGAGAAGUCACUACUAGAAACUUCUGAAGUCUUCUUUGAACAGUCUAAUGUGAGUUUACCUGGAAAGAAAGAAGCUAAAUAAUAAGCGGAGUUGAAAUUAAUGCAUGCAAGAUUUCAUAGCUCUAGCAUCACUCCUUCAUAGUCAGCCUAUAAACUAUUCAGGCUUCACCCACCUCAUAUUUGCAAAUUAAAUGGGUUUUUAUACAACGACAUAUAGUAUUUAUACUGUUUAUUUUGUAUAUUUUCUUUUCAGGGCAAUCAAAUGUCUUUUAAAUAGCUCCUGUUCAAUACCAACUGCAAUGACGGCAUUAAAAAAACUGUGUAGUAUGUAUAGUUAUUUUAUAAUCAUCUUUAAUAUUACGAUUCAGAAGUUGAAAAGUGUACCUCUUUCUAGCAUAGUGUAGAAAAACAUUCAAAAAGAAAUCAUUUAAACAAAAAUUUUCUUGGACAAGAAUCUAGCUUUUAAAAUACAAUUCAUAAAUUUACUGUAUUAGAAGAGUAGUGGGUGUUGCUGUUGCUUUUGUUGUUGGUGUUAUUUCGCUCUAGGUCACUUCUGGUUCAGUAUACCGAUAAGCAAAAUACAUUCCAGUUGUAGCUGUCUCACAUUUUUGGGGCAUUGUCUAUCGAGAAUUAUAUUAUUCAAAGUUUCUUAUUGUAAAGAUGGUAUGGUGACACUUGAAAUAGAUUUACCGGCAUAACAAGCUAGCUCGGUAAGCACAUACGAGGGGUAUUGAAAAGUUCCUGGCUUUGUGUAAAAGAAAAUACAGGAGGAUCAGUUAUGAUUUUAUUCAACAUAUUCCCUCUCUCAGAUUCACAUGCUUAUUGCAGCGGUCCUUCACUCUUUAUAAGCUCUGAAAAAGAACUCGGAAGAUUGGGCUUCCAACAGGUUUGUCGCGAUACUCUGAAAGCCAAGAACUUUUCAGCACUCCCUCGUAAUGCAUCAUAUGAUCUUUAAAUAACUGCCGAAAGACUACAAUGGUGUGACCAAACUAAUUUAAAAGCCACAAUAAUUCUGUUUUUGAAACGGUAUAUGCGAAAAUAGACAUUGAUGUAGUAUCUUAAAAACACUAAUUUGCCUUGUGCAGUCGUAUGUUUGGAUUAAGGAUAAUAUACUACUGAUACCUAUUUUAUAAAUCCUAAAAGAUAUAAAUGUGAAGUCAAGGCUGGCAACUUUGGGCAAAGCGUUGAAGCGUGUUUAACUCAACGUUUUGUCGUUUCAUCUGGCUUAGGCGGUUUCUGAAGUUGAUUAUUGAGUAUGAAAAGUGCAAUAGCGACGGUAAAACACUUGGAAUUUUUAGUCUGUACAGAGUCCAGAAGUCUAGUAAGGGUUGAGUCAGAAAGAAUUAAUCCGAAGGAAAAUUUGGAGACUGUCAAUAAAUUUGUGCUGAAGAUUGGAAAUGAUAACGUUUCCAGCUUUUACAAUUCAAUGGAGAGUAGGGAGAGACAAAUGGGGAAAUAUAUGCAAUGAAGGAGAGAUGUGGAGAGUUAGGACGGAAAAUUAGGCGAGAAAGAACGAGGGAGAAAAAGGGAGAGACAGAGAGACUCUGUGUGUGUGUGUGUGAAUUAAGAAAUAUAGUUAAUUACAUUAUUUACAUUUGACGGUUAUUUGUCCUCAUCUUGUUUGUUGUUAACACAACAUUUCGGCCAUCAGCCUCCAGCCCUCAUCAGUUGUCUUGGGGGAAAUUUCGAACCUGGAUUCUCAUUCCUAAGGUAUUUUCGAUAUUAUUAUUAUUCAGUAGUUUUAUUUUUAUAGUUUGCUUUGACUUCACUACCGAGCGCAGCCCUGUAUGCCUUGAGUAUGUGCUGUGAUUUGUUGUGAAGCUCUUAUGGUUACUGUAUUGAAAAUGUUUUGCGUAGGAUAUGUGCAGUGCUCAAUAGUGCAAUUUUCUGUAUGUUAUAUGUGUUUGUAAGUCCUGGUGUUUUUGUUAUGUAUUUUUCUGAAUAUUUUUUUUAUCAUACAUAAUGCACCCACUAUGAUAUGAAUUGUUUCUGUUUUUAGAUUCCACAUUCGAGUUAUCUCUAUUUCCAGGUCUUUGUAUUUUGAAAGUUUCUCCAUUUCUUUUAGAGAUGCGUUGUCAUCUGCUGGUAUUGAUACAUCAAUUAAAAAGCAUUUUUUUCUUCACGAUCUCUGACAACAAUAUCUGGCCUACUGGCCUCAAUUUCUCUAUCUAUGUGUAUUGGCAUAUCACAGAGUAUGGUUGCUUUCUCGUUUUCUGUGACUUUUCUGGUUUGUGCCUAUAUUUAUUUUCUGUUGUUAUUCCAUAAUGUUGGCAAAGCUUCCAGUGUAUGUAGGUCCCAACUCUCGUGUCUGUGAAUAUAUUCCUUCUUAGCUAAGACUGGGCAGCCAGAGAUAAAAUGAUUUAUUGUUUCUUGUCCAUCUCCACAUAUUCUGCAGUUACUUGUUAUGUUUCUUUUCAUUAUAUGUCUUUGGUAAUUUCUGGUGGAGUGGCUUUGGUCUUGUGCUGCAAUUAUAAAUCCCUCCGCCUCUGCUUUGAGUCCUGAGCUUCUCAAACAUAGCUGGGAUUUUCUUUGUCUAUUUCUUUUGCAUUUAGUUUAGUCCAGUAUUUGCCAUGAAGGGGCUUUUCUUGCCAUCGUUUUUUCAUGGUCUGUUGCUGUUCUAGUUUUAGUAUGGAUUUCAUUUGUUUUAUAGCUUUUGUUGUUUCUUCAUCAUCAUCAUCUUCUUCUUCUUCUUCUUCUUCUUCUUCUUCUUCUUCUUCUUCUUCUUCUUCUUCUUCUUCUUCUUCUUCUUCUUCUUCUUCUUCUUCUUCUGUGAUAUGAUUUAUUGUUUGUAUUUGUCAGCUUCCUUAAAUACUGAGAACAGUCAUUUUGUUUUGCUCGUGUUUUGUCGCUAUUUGUAUCAGUUUUCCUUGCUUCUGAAGUAGAUAUUUUUGCUGUCCUAUGGUGGUUAUUUCAUAAUAGUUUUUCAGCAGUAAGGCCUCUGCCACCUUCUAUACGUUGUAUAUAUAACCUUUCUAUGUCAGAUUUUGGGUGAUGCAUCCUAGAUCCUGUCAUUAUUUUUCUUGUUUUCCUGUCUAUUUUGGUUAGUUCAUUUAGUAUCCAGUUAAGGAUAUUAUAGCUGUAACUUAUAUAUGGGACGGCUAAAGUGUUAAUAUCUACUAUCUUGUUUUUAGUAUUGAUCUAACUCGUCUAUAGUAUUCUUUCUUUAUUUUCUCAUUCAUUUUUGUGUGUUGUAUCGUAUCUAGUUCGUGGAUUCCUAAAUAUUUGUAAGUUUGGCUUUGGUCUAAUUCUCUUAUUUCAUUGGUUUUAUCUAGUGUGAUGUUGCUACUCUUAACUAGUUUCCCUCUUUUCAGGGUUACUUUGGUGCAUUUUUCUAAUCCAUAUUUCAUAUCUAUUUCUUUGGUAAAUCCAUGAACUGUCUGCAUUAGUGUCUCCAGCUGUUUGUCAUUGACCUGAAUAAUAACAACAAUAAUAACAUCGAAAUAUAACUUAGGAAUGAGAACCCAGGUUCAAAAUUUUCCCAAGACACCUGAUGAAGGUUGGAGGGUAUAUCAGCCGAUACGUUGUGUUAACAACAAAUAAGUUGAGGACAAAUAUCUGUCAAAUGUAAAUAAUGUACAUAAUUCAUUAUCUCUUAAAUAUAGAACUGAAAAAUAGUUAAUUUAAGUUUUCGUGAUGCUUGUUUGUGGUCAUAACGCUAGAUUUUGAAUGACGACUAACCAAAAAUGCUUAAGUAUUAUAAAAAUUGUUCCCUCAAGUCGUUUAUAAAAGCAAAGUUACUUGUUGCAGUUAUAAGUAGCAAUGUAAUAAUUUAUUAAUAAAAUCGAUAAAGAUAUUUAAAUGAUGAGAAAAUAGUUUACUCUCUCUCUCUAUAUAUAAAUUGAUAUGAUUACUUUUCUUUUUUACUUUCAGGCACUGGGUCAACUAUUUCAUUCAGUUUCAAUGUUUUGAUUGUUUUGGUGGUCUUGCAGUUGGCGGAUUAUAUUAAAAACUAUUUCUAAUCUGACAUUUUUAACGAUUUUAUAACAGUAAAUACAAAUACACUUUUUGCUUUUUAUAAAUCUAAGUGUAAAUGAUAAAUAACUAUCAAUAAAAUAUUACUAUUUGAAGUUUUCGUCAUUGUCACUUAUUGUAUGCUUAACCCAAAUUUUAAUUAAUGAAAAUUUUAAUUAAUGAAAAUCUGAAGUUUUCUCUUUGUCUUGAUUAUAUUCAGUUAAAGCAAUAAACGAUUAGA
This 11104-nucleotide long non-coding RNA is filed under the name Octopus vulgaris (common octopus). The record is from RNAcentral. Lineage: Eukaryota; Metazoa; Mollusca; Cephalopoda; Octopoda; Octopodidae.